UGAUGUUUGUAUAUAACUUAUUGAUUAUUUACAUCGCCUCUUACUUGCUUCAUUAUUAUUAGUAUUUAUUGUUGAGCAUUCACUUAUCUUACUUCACAUAAUCUGAGGAUUAUACACAAUAAGUUUAAAUUUUUAAAAAAUUGAAUUCACCCCUCUCUAGGAUUGCCUCUCUAAAUAAUAAGUGGUGUUAGAGCUUGAUACUUAGCCC
RNAcentral lists this long non-coding RNA (208 nucleotides) under Elaeis guineensis (African oil palm). RNAcentral describes it as "long non-coding RNA (EGUI_LNC007967)". The record is from RNAcentral. Lineage: Eukaryota; Viridiplantae; Streptophyta; Magnoliopsida; Arecales; Arecaceae.